Molecule: ribosomal RNA, 583 nt
Filed under: Agreia pratensis
Lineage: Bacteria; Bacillati; Actinomycetota; Actinomycetes; Micrococcales; Microbacteriaceae
Description: bacterial SSU rRNA
Rfam family: Bacterial small subunit ribosomal RNA
Source: RNAcentral
GGAACUAGAUGUGGGGACCAUUCCACGGUCUCCGUGUCGCAGCUAACGCAUUAAGUUUCCCCGCCUGGGGAGUACGGCCGCAAGGCUAAAACUCAAAGGAAUUGACGGGGGCCCGCACAAGCGGCGGAGCAUGCGGAUUAAUUCGAUGCAACGCGAAGAACCUUACCAAGGCUUGACAUAUACGAGAACGGGCUAGAAAUAGUCAACUCUUUGGACACUCGUAAACAGGUGGUGCAUGGUUGUCGUCAGCUCGUGUCGUGAGAUGUUGGGUUAAGUCCCGCAACGAGCGCAACCCUCGUUCUAUGUUGCCAGCACGUAAUGGUGGGAACUCAUAGGAGACUGCCGGGGUCAACUCGGAGGAAGGUGGGGAUGACGUCAAAUCAUCAUGCCCCUUAUGUCUUGGGCUUCACGCAUGCUACAAUGGCCGGUACAAAGGGCUGCAAUACCGUAAGGUGGAGCGAAUCCCAAAAAGCCGGUCUCAGUUCGGAUUGAGGUCUGCAACUCGACCUCAUGAAGUCGGAGUCGCUAGUAAUCGCAGAUCAGCAACGCUGCGGUGAAUACGUUCCCGGGCCUUGUACACACC